GAUGAACGCUGGCGGCGUGCCUGAUACAUGCAAGUCGAGCGAACAGACGAGGAGCUUGCUCCUUUGACGUUAGCGGCGGACGGGUGAGUAACACGUGGGUAACCUACCUAUAAGACUGGGAUAACUUCGGGAAACCGGAGCUAAUACCGGAUAAUAUUUCGAACCGCAUGGUUCGAUAGUGAAAGAUGGCUUUGCUAUCACUUAUAGAUGGACCUGCGCCGUAUUAGCUAGUUGGUAAGGUAACGGCUUACCAAGGCAACGAUACGUAGCCGACCUGAGAGGGUGAUCGGCCACACUGGAACUGAUACACGGUCCAGACUCCUACGGGAGGCAGCAGUAGGGAAUCUUCCGCAAUGGGCGAAAGCCUGACGGAGCAACGCCGCGUGAGUGAUGAAGGUCUUCGGAUCGUAAAACUCUGUUAUUAGGGAAGAACAAACGUGUAAGUAACUGUGCACGUCUUGACGGUACCUAAUCAGAAAGCCACGGCUAACUACGUG
Molecule: ribosomal RNA, 497 nt
Filed under: uncultured bacterium
Lineage: Bacteria
Description: partial 16S ribosomal RNA
Rfam family: Bacterial small subunit ribosomal RNA
Source: RNAcentral